Molecule: long non-coding RNA, 848 nt
Filed under: Equus asinus (donkey)
Lineage: Eukaryota; Metazoa; Chordata; Mammalia; Perissodactyla; Equidae
Description: lncRNA (ENSEASG00005028287.1)
Source: RNAcentral
AUUGGUAUUGUUUAAAGAUCCCCCAGGUGAUUUUAAUGUGCAACUGGGUUUGCAGGCCCCACUGAGAAAAAAGUGACAAUCAGAGAGGGAAGAACCACAGAAGUCGGAGUCCUAGAAGGUGAAAUAUAUGGGCACUGGGGGAAGAGGGAAGUAUGAAUGUCCGACGCCAUAGAGAGAUCUAGAAGACUGGAGGACAAUGAUGAGGGCUUUGGGUUUGUUCACGGAAAGAGGCCUUGGAGUCUAGAGCCAGCAGCUUGGAACUAGAGCAGGGCAAAUGAUCCUGGGAUGGACAUUUCUAUGCAUACACCUUUUUACCCUACAAGUGUCCUUUUACUACCUGAGAAAAUUGUGGCUGCUUGUUCCUGGCAGUGUGGCAGUGGAGCUGUGAUAGUCAAUCCAAGGGUAUUGUCUUCUGGUGAAGCACAGCACAUCUCUGCCCCUGGGGCAGUCUGCACAGCUGUGUCCGAGCUUUUACCAUCAUCUGUGUGCCAAAGACGUCUGAUGUUAUCUGAUUCUUUUGGGUGAAGAUGAGGGCCUUCUCCUAGCUCUCCAAGGCCAGUGGAGCACACAGUGAGAAUGUGGUCAUCUGCAAGCCAGGAAGAGAGCUCUUACCAGAACCUGACCAUGGUGGUGCCCUGAUCCUGAACUUCCAGACUUCAAGAUUAAAAUUACCUUCCGGAGCCGACCCCGUGGCCAAGUGGUUAAGUUCUUCUGCUCUGCUGCAGGAGGCCCAGUGUUCCAUCGGUUCGAAUCCUCGGCGCAGACAUGGCACCACUCAUCGAGCCAUGCUGAGGUGGCAUCCCACAUGCCACAACUAGAAGGACCCACAACUAAGAAUAUACAACUAU